GCAGCACGGGAGCUUGCUCCUGGUGGCGAGUGGCGAACGGGUGAGUAACGCAUCGGAACAUGCCUAGUCGUGGGGGAUACCGUAGCGAAAGUUACGUUAAUACCGCAUACGUCCUGAGGGAGAAAGCAGGGGAUUCGCAAGAACCUUGCGCGAUUAGAGUGGCCGAUGCCUGAUUAGCUUGUUGGUGAGGUAAUGGCUCACCAAGGCGACGAUCAGUAGCGGGUCUGAGAGGAUGAUCCGCCACACUGGAACUGAGACACGGUCCAGACUCCUACGGGAGGCAGCAGUGGGGAAUUUUGGACAAUGGGGGCAACCCUGAUCCAGCCAUUCCGCGUGAGUGAAGAAGGCCUUCGGGUUGUAAAGCUCUUUCAGCUGGAACGAAACGGUGCGCUCUAACAUAGCGUAUUAAUGACGGUACCAGCAGAAGAAGCACCGGCUAACUACGUGCCAGCAGCCGCGGUAAUACGUAGGGUGCGAGCGUUAAUCGGAAUUACUGGGCGUAAAGCGUGCGCAGGCGGAUUGUUAAGCAAGAUGUGAAAUCCCCGGGCUUAACCUGGGAAUGGCAUUUUGAACUGGCAAUCUAGAGUGUGUCAGAGGGGGGUAGAAUUCCACGUGUAGCAGUGAAAUGCGUAGAGAUGUGGAGGAAUACCGAUGGCGAAGGCAGCCCCCUGGGAUAACACUGACGCUCAUGUACGAAAGCGUGGGUAGCAAACAGGAUUAGAUACCCUGGUAGUCCACGCCCUAAACGAUGUCAACUGGUUGUUGGGAGAGUGAAAUCUCUUAGUAACGAAGCUAACGCGUGAAGUUGACCGCCUGGGGAGUACGGUCGCAAGAUUAAAACUCAAAGGANNUGACGGGGACCCGCACAAGCGGUGGAUGAUGUGGAUUAAUUCGAUGCAACGCGAAAAACCUUACCUACCCUUGACAUGUCCAGAAUCCUGCANANAUGUGGGANUGCCCGAAAGGGNAAUUNGNNCACAGGUGCUGCAUGGGCUGUCGUCAGCUCGUGNCGUGAGAU
This 1018-nucleotide ribosomal RNA is filed under the name uncultured bacterium. RNAcentral's name for it is "bacterial SSU rRNA". It matches the Rfam family "Bacterial small subunit ribosomal RNA", at positions 66 to 1073 of the family's 1533-position model. The record is from RNAcentral.